GAUGAACGCUGGCGGCGUGCUUAACACAUGCAAGUCGAACGGAAAGGCCAGUGCUUGCACUGGUACUCGAGUGGCGAACGGGUGAGUAACACGUGGGUGAUCUGCCCUGCACUUCGGGAUAAGCCUGGGAAACUGGGUCUAAUACCGGAUAGGACAAUGGUUUGGAUGCCGUUGUGGAAAGUUUUUUCGGUGUGGGAUGAGCUCGCGGCCUAUUAGCUUGUUGGUGGGGUAAUGGCCUACCAAGGCGUCGACGGGUAGCCGGCCUGAGAGGGUGUACGGCCACAUUGGGACUGAGAUACGGCCCAGACUCCUACGGGAGGCAGCAGUGGGGAAUAUUGCACAAUGGGCGCAAGCCUGAUGCAGCGACGCCGCGUGGGGGAUGACGGCCUUCGGGUUGUAAACUCCUUUCGCUAGGGACGAAGCGUAUUUGUGACGGUACCUGGAGAAGAAGCACCGGCUAACUACGUG
Molecule: ribosomal RNA, 468 nt
Filed under: uncultured bacterium
Lineage: Bacteria
Description: partial 16S ribosomal RNA
Rfam family: Bacterial small subunit ribosomal RNA
Source: RNAcentral